UAUCACUAAGCGGAGCACACGGGUCCCUNCCUUGCCCGAGUUGGUAACUUGAAGCACGCNUACUUUAGUUUGGCCCCCCUCUAUGUCCUUGGAACAGGACGUCAUAGAGGGUGAGAAGCCCGUGCGAUGGGGUGUCCAUUCUUUGUAAGUUUCCUUCGACGAGUCGAGUUGUUUGGGAAUGCACCUCUAAGUGGGUGGUAAAUUCCAUCUAAAGCUAAAUAUUGGCGAGAGACCGAUAGCGAACAAGUACAGUGAUGGAAAGAUGAAAAGAACUUUGAAAAGAGAGUGAAAAAGUACGUGAAAUUGUUGAAAGGGAAGGGUAUUUGAUCAGACUUGGUAUUAGAAUAUGGCAGCGCUCGGGUUGUCCUCUAUUCUUUUACUGGGCCAGCAUCGGUUCGGAUGGCAAGAUAAUUACGUUUGAAUGUGGCCUCCUCGGAGUGUUAUACCUUUCGUACAUAUUGCCUGUCUGGGACCGAGGACUGCGUCUUUUGACUAGGAUGCCUGGGCNAUAAUGNAUUAAAUACC
RNAcentral lists this ribosomal RNA (525 nucleotides) under Kuraishia sp. JadMP431. RNAcentral describes it as "eukaryotic LSU rRNA". It matches the Rfam family "Eukaryotic large subunit ribosomal RNA", at positions 41 to 646 of the family's 3401-position model. The record is from RNAcentral. Lineage: Eukaryota; Fungi; Ascomycota; Pichiomycetes; Pichiales; Pichiaceae.